This 423-nucleotide ribosomal RNA is filed under the name uncultured bacterium. RNAcentral's name for it is "partial 16S ribosomal RNA". It matches the Rfam family "Bacterial small subunit ribosomal RNA", at positions 359 to 774 of the family's 1533-position model. The record is from RNAcentral.
GAAUUUUGGACAAUGGGCGAAAGCCUGAUCCAGCAAUGCCGCGUGCAGGAUGACGGCCUUCGGGUUGUAAACUGCUUUUGUACGGAACGAAAAGCUUUGGGUUCAUACCCUGGUGUCAUGACUGUACCGUAAGCAUAAGCACAGGCGAACUACGUGCCAGCAGCACCGGUAAUACGUCGGUUGCAAGCGUUAAUAGGAAUUACUGGGCGUAAAGCGUGCGCAGGCGGGUUUGUAAGACAGAGGUGAAAUCCCCGGGCUCAACCUGGGAACUGCCUUUGUGACUGCAAGGCUAGAGUACGGCAGAGGGGGGUGGAAUUCCGCGUGUAGCAGUGAAAUGCGUAGAUAUGCGGAGGAACACCGAUGGCGAAGGCAACCCCCUGGGCCUGUACUGACGCUCAUGCACGAAAGCGUGGGGAGCAAACA